This 485-nucleotide ribosomal RNA is filed under the name uncultured bacterium. RNAcentral describes it as "bacterial SSU rRNA". It matches the Rfam family "Bacterial small subunit ribosomal RNA", at positions 32 to 494 of the family's 1533-position model. The record is from RNAcentral.
GACGAAACGCUGGCAGUGUGUCUUACACAUGCAAGUCGGGCGGAUCUCUCUAAUUGCAGCAAUGCAAUUGGAGAGAUCGAGCGGCAAACGGGUGAGUAAUGGAUAGGUAAUCUACCAUAAUGACUGGGAUACCCCCUUGAAAAAGGGAUCAAUACCAGAUAAUGUCAGUUUAAAUACUUUUAAACUGAAGAAAGAUGGCCCAAAGCUAUCACAUUAUGAUGAGCCUAUCUCCUAUCAGCUUGUUGGUGAGGUAAUGGCUCACCAAGGCUAUGACGGGUAGCUGGUCUGAGAGGAUGGUCAGCCACACUGGAACUUAGAUACGGUCCAGACUCCGUACGGGAGGCAGCAGUGGGGAAUCGUUGGGCAAGUGGGCGAAAGCCUGACCCAGCGACACUGCGGUGGGGUGAGUGAAGAUUCGUUUGGUAUUGUAAAGCUCUGUCGUGGGAGGGACGGAAGGAAGUGACGGUACCGUCCGGAGGAGCCAC